Molecule: ribosomal RNA, 571 nt
Filed under: uncultured bacterium
Lineage: Bacteria
Description: bacterial SSU rRNA
Rfam family: Bacterial small subunit ribosomal RNA
Source: RNAcentral
AUUGAACGCUGGCGGCAGGCCUAACACAUGCAAGUCGAGCGGCAGCGGAAAGUAGCUUGCUACUUUGCCGGCGAGCGGCGGACGGGUGAGUAAUGUCUGGGAAACUGCCUGAUGGAGGGGGAUAACUACUGGAAACGGUAGCUAAUACCGCAUGACCUCGAAAGAGCAAAGUGGGGGAUCUUCGGACCUCACGCCAUCGGAUGUGCCCAGAUGGGAUUAGCUAGUAGGUGAGGUAAUGGCUCACCUAGGCGACGAUCCCUAGCUGGUCUGAGAGGAUGACCGGCCACACUGGGACUGAGACACGGCCCAAACUCCUACGGGAGGCAGCAGUGGGGAAUAUUGGACAAUGGGCGAAAGCCUGAUCCAGCCACGCCGCGUGAGUGAUGAAGGCCUUCGGGUCGUAAAGCUCUGUGGGGAGGGACGAAUAUCCGGUUGAAGAACCGGGGGUGACGGUACCUCCCUGAGCCAAGCACCGGCCUAACUUCGGUGCCCAGCAGCCCGCGGGUAAUACCGAAGGGGUGCAAAACGUUUGCUCGGAAAUCAUUGGGGCGUUAAAGCGCACGUAGGCGGC